This 1391-nucleotide ribosomal RNA is filed under the name Hylophorbus rainerguentheri. Its description in RNAcentral is "partial 16S ribosomal RNA". It matches the Rfam family "Bacterial large subunit ribosomal RNA", at positions 133 to 2574 of the family's 2925-position model. Lineage: Eukaryota; Metazoa; Chordata; Amphibia; Anura; Microhylidae. The record is from RNAcentral.
GCUUAAAACUCAGCCCUACUCAUUCAAUAACUCACACCGACCAAUAAAAAUAAACUAAAACAUUUUAUUAGCUCAGUAGAGGCGAUUAAAAAGUAUCUAGGCGCCCAAACAUUAGUACCGCAAGGGAAAAGUGAAAUAAAAAUGAAACAAAUUUAAAGCACCACAAAGUAAAGAUUUACUCUUGUACCUUUUGCAUCAUGGUCUAACCAGUAAAACCAAGCAAAAUGAUUUUUAAGUUUGACAUCCCGAAACUAGACGAGCUACUUCAAAACAGCUCCCCGAGCCAACCCGUCUCUGUUGCAAAAGAGUGGGAAGAUUUUUAAGUAGAGGUGAUAAACCUACCGAGUCCAGAGAUAGCUGGUUAUUCAGGAAAAGGAUCUUAGUCCAAUUUUAACUCUUUACAUAAUAUCAAGUAUGCCCGCAGACUUAAAAUUCACUCUAAUAAGGUACAGCCUAUUUGAGACAGGAUACAACCUCUCACAGAAGGUAAUGUUCAAAUAAAUGUGACUAAGUAGGCUCAAAAGCAGCCAUCUUUUAAAAAGCGUUAAAGCCUUAUCACAUAUAAUUAUAAAUAUCAACCCUCACCCAAAACCUCUUAUCCCUACUGAAUGAUUCUAUAUCUAUAUAAAAGCCCCUAUGUCAGAACUAGUAACAAGAAUGCCCAUUCUCCUAUAAACAUAAGUGUAAGCCGAAAUGGACCACCCAUCGACAUUCACCGCCAAUGAACCAACAGUAAUAACCUCCUCAAGAAAAUUUUACUUUUCCUAAGCGUUAACCUUACACAAGAAUUUUUCUGGAAAGAUUCAAAAAAGAGGAAGGAACUCGGCAAACAUUAACCUCGCCUGUUUACCAAAAACAUCGCCUUCUGAAACUCAAUCGAAGGUCCAGCCUGCCCAGUGAUAAACUUAAACGGCCGCGGUAUCUUAACCGUGCAAAGGUAGCACAAUCACUUGUUCUUUAAAUAAGGACUAGUAUGAACGGCAUCACGAAGGUUACACUGUCUCCCUCCUUUAAUCAGUGAAACUAAUCUCCCCGUGAAGAAGCGGGGAUCAACCUAUAAGACGAGAAGACCCCAUGGAGCUUUAGACUAAGUAUCACUUGCAUUGCCAACACCACUUAAGCCUACGCAAAUCUGUUUACUAGUUUUUGGUUGGGGCGACCACGGAGCAAAACAAAACCUCCACGACGAAAGGAAACACUUUCCUAAUCAAAGAGUUACCACUCACAGAAUCAAAAUAUUGACCUAAAUUGACCCAAUACACUUGAUCAACGAACCAAGUUACCCUGGGGAUAACAGCGCAAUCCAUUUCAAGAGCCCGUAUCAACAAAUGGGUUUACGACCUCGAUGUUGGAUCAGGGUAUCCUAGUGGUGCAGCCAUUACUAAAGGUUC